AACAUCGCGCACCUGCGGGAACCUGCGGAAGGAUCAUUACCGAGUUUACAACUCCCAAACCCCUGUGAACAUACCUAUACGUUGCCUCGGCGGAUCAGCCCGCGCCCUGUAAAAAGGGACGGCCCGCCCGAGGACCCUAAACUCUGUUUUUAGUGGAACUUCUGAGUAAAACAAACAAAUAAAUCAAAACUUUCAGCAACGGAUCU
This 206-nucleotide unclassified non-coding RNA is filed under the name soil metagenome. RNAcentral's name for it is "partial contains 5.8S ribosomal RNA, internal transcribed spacer 2, and large subunit ribosomal RNA". The record is from RNAcentral.